Rattus norvegicus (Norway rat) is the source of this 12910-nucleotide long non-coding RNA. RefSeq lists it as uncharacterized. NCBI's taxonomy places the organism in Eukaryota, Metazoa, Chordata, Mammalia, Rodentia, Muridae. The record is from RefSeq and is a predicted model, not a curated record.
CUGUCUUCAGACACACCAGAAGAGGGCAUCGGAUCCCAUUGCAGAUGGUUGUGAGCCACCAUGUGGUUGCUGGGAAUUGAACUCAGGACCUCUGGGAGAGCAGUCAGUGCUCUUAACCGCUGAGCCAUCUCUCCAGCCCUCUGGUAGAUAUCUUAAUCUCAGUCAGCAAAGCCUCAAGAGAAACCACCGCCGAGAGAACAUGGAGGCGGAUGUUAAGAUUCCUCUCUGUAGGGCUGGAGAGAUGGUUAAGAGCAAAUGUCCUGAGUUCAAUACCCAGCAACCACGUGGUGGCUCACAACCAUCUGUAAUGGGAUCUGAUGCCCUCUUCUGGUGUGUCUGAAGACAGCUACAGUGUACUCAUAUAAAUAAAAUAAAUAAAAUUAAAAAAAUAAAAGAUUCCUCUCUGUACCUUUACAGGUUGUUAUGAAUGCUCUUAAGGGAUGGAUGUGUACAGAGCUUUGUAUGUUUAGGUGGGUAAUUAUAUCUUAUCAAUUGGAUCAGAGGUUGUGUUGUGUGUUCUUUCUUGUGGCGAAUUAAGUUUAAGAGAGUGUGUGGUGACUGGGACACUGGGCCACCACUGAGUUGGGAUGUGUGUUUCUAACACGAUGGCAGCCUGCCUUGGGAACUAGGUGGGUAGAGAGAUUGUUGCCAGGCUCAGAGAGAGGCCAUCGGCGGUGUGAUAUGGGAUGGAGCAAAGCGGGUGAGAGGCUUUGCUGACUGAGAUGAAGGUAUCUACCAGAUAUCUUGGGGCACUAUGGUGCCAGACCUAGUCGGGGUAAAAGAUGGCCACUUAUUUUUUACAGCAUCAUUCCUAUCGCUCCACUGGGUCCCUGCCUGGCUACAGGAGGUGGUCUCUUCAAGGUUCCAUAUCUCCAGUGUUGUGAGUCACAGCUAAAGUUACCCCCAUUGAUUCCUGGGAGCUUCCCACAUCCUGGAUCUCUAGCAUUCCCUCCACCAGCUGCAGAUGUCCAUUCAUUUUCCUGGUCCUCUGGCCAUCUCUCCUGUCUCUCCCCGUACCUGAUCCUGAACACACCCCUCCCCAUCCCUUCUCCCACCCAUCCGCCUUCUUUAGUCGUAUUUUAUUCCCCCUUCUAAGUGAGAUUCAAGUGUCCUUGCUUGGGCCUUCCUUCUUGUUUAGGGUCUGUGGAAUGUAGCAUGGCUACAUUAUGGCUACUUUAUGGCUAAUAUCCAUUUAUAAGCGAGCACAUACCUUGCAUGCGGACAGAUCAUGAAACAUCUAUGCAAUGGAGAGAAAAUCUUUAUCUAGACAGACAACAGCCUCGUGGCUUUCCAGCAACACACUGCCGUACACCUUGAAUAGCCCCCAUACUUCCCGGGAAAAGUGCACAGCCACAUCUCCACAUUUUAACAAGCUCUGAAGAAGUGAGCAGAUUUUGACUCAGAACUUGUGUCUACGGAAGCAGCUCAACCACUUGGCUACCAACUGUGCAGUCAGACAGGCAUGGAAGGCUUGCAGCUGCGGUCACCUACUGCCUAAGACCGUUGUGGUCCACAACAGCCCAUAAGUCAGUGGUCCCCUAAGGUCAGAGAGGAGCUACAAACCUUCCUGCUCAGUGGCUUAGCAGGACAGUGCAUUCUCAUAUUUUAUUCAAAGGCCUUUGGUAUCAGUGCUAUAAAAAGCACAGCACAGUUACACACGGCAUGUUGUCUUUAAAUGAUUGUUACUGGUUUACACACUUAGUACAUUACACCAAUACUAAUUACACUACACUAAUUAUACUACACUAAUUUAAUCACCUUGAAGUCCUCCCAAGAAAGUGACUUCUACCAACUAAAGCUUAUAUGAGCACAAUCUUAGCUCCAGAAAAUGACUCACAGACACUUUUCACCAUAAGCAUAACCUGUGUUCGUAUUAUGAGAGAAAAAAUCAACCGUAAUUUUCUCAGAAAAUAUCCCCCGAGGGAUGAGAGUGUCUUAAGAAGCGACAAGGUAGAAAGGAGUAAGGAAGUAGGCCAGGAGGUAUGCGGCUCUCAGGUUACAAUGACUGGGUCUAAUAUAGUUCUGAGCCCGUCCCAGGCCACCGGAGUCAUGGGUGGCAGAGGAAGGCGGCCAAUGCAUGGAGAGAGCAGAGCUCACCUAGGCCUCAGGCUACGUGAGCUCAGCGGCCACUGCCCGGGAUUUGCUGCUUGUCUGCUCAGAAAAGGCUAGACUGUGGGUCAGGCAUAGCUGUGGGUAGGGAAUAACCACAGGAAACAUCUCAUUUCUAUCAGCAUCCCGAGCUCAUUUAUAAAACACAGGUAGGUCUUGUUUUUUUUGGUAGAGAUUUGACACUCUUCCAAGUAUCAGGUUGUUCCAGUAAUAAUCUUCUUGUAAUUAGGAGCUGUCUACCACGUCUUGGAACCAGUUCCCUAUGUGGUUUCUUAGGAGUUAGUGUGUGCGUGUGUUUGGCUUUUGAUUUUCUUCUUGUGUUUAUUUUUAAUGUAGGCAAAAAUAAAGGAGACAACAAAUUCAAGUACUUGAGGACCCUAGUGCAAUAGAAAAUGAGCUCUUUUUUUUUUUUUCCUGGUAGGAAAUAAAAUCUUCCACCCACCGCCCUGCCCCCACUAAAUAAUUGCCCUCACUAAUACCCCAUUGUUUUGUGCAUUAAACCCCUAGAGUGUUUCAUCCCUCUAGUGGCCAAUUCAGGUCCCAUAGGGUAUUUUGUGAGAAGGAGGUGGCUACAACCAUUGUUUCAUUUCUUCCCGUCUUCUCAACUGUUCUAAGAAACAGAACUCACGCUGUUGUUUCCGGGGUUCUGUGGUGUAGACGUAUCUCUAGCCUAGGCCAAGUCACCCACAGCUGGUACAGAAUCUGAGAAAACAGAACCGUUAUCAAAGGUGCUUUUACAGCUCCACGGAGCUGGGUAUCAAAACAUGCCCAUGAUAUUUUGGUUCGACAAAUUACCUGGGAAGGACCCAGCUUUGAUUCCCACCACCUACGUGGAGGCUCUCCACCUCCUCAAGCACCAGCAUGUGUCUGGCGCACAGACACACACGAAGGCAAAACACUUGUACACAUAAGAUAAUAGAUAAGGUAUCUAGAGAACAAAUCCGUUCCUCAGCUCACCUUCACCUCUCUGUGUACCACCGAUUUCAGGCCACUGGCAAGGUCGGGCAGUCAUUCUUCUUGCCCUGCUGUGUCUGCCAGACUCUCCUUACAUUCCUUUGUCAGUGGCUUCAUUGUGGCACGGCGUACUCUGAUCGCAGCCAAUACCCUCUUCUGGUUUCAUGUGUUCCUUUUUUAAAUGGCCGAUGAGUUUCCUCAGGGUUCCUGGUACGUGGGCACCAUAUCAGUGCCUAUACUACUGAAGAAAAUAUCUCCCUUGCUCAUCAAACAUUAACUGAAGUAGUCUAGUGUGCUGACACACACCUUUAACCCCAGGACUCUUGGAGUCAGGCAGAUCUUUUAGUAGGGCGCCAUCUUGUCUACAUAUGACAGACCAAGUUCUAGGCCAGCCAGGGAGAAAUAAUGAAAGUGUGACUCAAAAAAGAAAGUUUACUGCGAUAAAUCCCGAGGGAAGGCUACUAUGAGGCCCUUCUCUCUAAAACCUAAGGAACUGAAUAAAAUCUCUCCUAUUGGCCAGUUUCUCUGGUGUAGGGGAAAGUAUUCAGAGAAUGCAGAUAAAAUAGAGUAAAAGCAAAGUGUGGCAGAUCCACCUGCCGAUCACGUUGACACGCCCUUUAUUCUUUACAGUAGUCCUGAGGCCAGCAGGUGUCUGUUGCCUGCCUGUAAAGAUACCUCAGCUCUGUACUAGCCAGCAAAGCAGGGGACUAAGCACUAGGAAGAGUGGUGCUUGUCCGUACUACAAAGAAACCAUGAGUGGUACUUUUCCUCACAGCCACUACUGGGGCUUCUUUCUAUAGGCAUUAGUCUCCUCCCUCUAACUGUCUCUCUGCGGUGCUCACCUCGCUGUAUGGUUUCUGCUUUUCUUCCCUUUCCUGCUCUGCUCUCAUCUUUAAGUCUCUGCGCUGCACUCUAUGUCAACUUGACACACACUAACAUCGGUUUGGACAAGAGACUCUCAAUUGGUAAAAUGCCCUCAGCAGACUGGCCUUUGGGCAAACCUCUGGUGUGCAUUUUCUUGAUUGACAACUGAUGUGGGAGGGCCCCUCUCACUGUGGGUGGUAUCAUUCUUGGGCUUGUGGCCAUGGAUGUAUAAGAAAGCAGACUGAGCAAGCCAUGGAAAGCAAUCGAGUAAGCAGCACCCCUCCAUGGCCUCCAGGUCCUGCCCAGACUUCCCUUAGUGAUGGACUAUGAUGUGGGAGUGUAAGCAAAAUAAACCCUUUCCUCUCCAAUUUUCAUAUGCACAGUGUUUCUUCUGAGCAAUAGAAACUCCAACAAAGACAGUCUUCUAAUUUGCAUAUUCUCCCUUCCCUUCACUGCCCUUUGUAUGGUGGCGCAGUCCUAUAAUUCCAGCUACUUGAAAGGCUUAGCAGGAGGAUCAUACAUUCACGGAAUGUGCCGGCUGUACAGUAAGACUCUGUAUCAAAACUGAGGCUCCAAGUUGGGAGUGGUGGCGCACAGGAGUGGUGGCGCACACCUUUAAUCCUAGCACUUGGCGGGCAGUGGCAGGUAGGUCUCUGAGCGUCUGAGGCCAGCCCAGUCUACAGAGUGAGUUCCUGGACAGCCAGGGCUGCACAGAGAAACCUUGUCUUGGGGAAACAAACCAACUCUGAGGGCUCCAAUAUACAGUUCCAACUCUGUGUCCACACACAGGCCUGAUCAAACUCAGCAGGUUUUAAAACAAAAAGAUGUGACUGAGGGAAAGGGAGAUUUAGGGACAGAGGGAGAGCUGAUGGAAGUAAGGGAAUCGGGGAUGAUCAGAAUGUAUCACACAUGUACACAGCACACACAUGCACACAACACACAUGUACACAUGCACGCAUAUUUCAUAUGUGAAAUUGUCAAAGAAAAAUUUAAUUAAUAAAAAAUAAAUAAAAACUAAAAAAUAGGGUAGGUGGCUUGUUGUGCAAGUCUAGGAUCCUGAGUUCCUUCCCCAGCACACACAUAACAGUCAGCACGGCACUUUGUCUCAGAAACAGAAGACAGAAAGCAGUAGUCGAAGAUACCUGAAGUUGACCUCUGGUCAACAUGAAUGGCUGAGUGCUUGAGCACUCUAUAUCCUGUGACACACACAUCCACAUGCACAUGAACACACACACACACACACAAGAACACACACACACAUGCACCCACAAUACACACAUGUACAUGAACACACACACAUGCACACAACACACAUAUGCAUACAACACACACGAACACAUGCACACAAGACAUACACACAACACACAAAACACACAUGUACACAUGCACACAAUAUGCACAUGUACACGAACACACACAUGCACACAACACACACAUGUAUGAAACACACACAUGGUAGCUCACGACCAUCUACGAAUCCGAUUCUGGUGGAUCUGAAGCCUUCUUCCAACCUUCACUGGCACCAGACACACAAAUGAUAUAAAUACAUGUGUGUAGGCAGAUCUUUACAAAUAAAUUAAAACAUUACCAGCUUUUGGUUUCUCUUUUGUCUUUGGGUGGUUUGCAUGCACGUAUGUCUCUCUACUACUUGCGUGCCUGGUGCCUACAGAGCGUGUCGGACCCCCCUGGAACCAGAGUUAUAGAUUGAAGUGGGAACUUAAGGGUUUUUUUGGAAAGUCGUUCAGAUGGUGUUUUGCUGGAGUGAACACGUGAAAGAACAUUUCAUUAAAGUGGACACAGGUGUGAAAGGCUAAGGCCGACUUGUGAAGGAAUGUUUGGCUGAAGCAGACCGAUGAAAGGACAUUCUGCUAAGGCAAACACAAGAAUGGACACGUGAUAAAGGAUUCUGGACACGUGAUGAGGGAUUCUGGACACGUGAUGAAGGAUUCUUUGCUAACAGCACGCAUGCGUCGGUCCACCUCACAUUGCGUAGUUGGGACUCCACGGAGAGAAAUGAACCAGUAAACCUCUGAUGGUCUGCUACAGUUUCUUGCUGCUUCUGUGGACUUGGGCUGAUUGGCGGAGUAACGUCAGCUGAGACAGACUCACGUGCUGAGGCAGGACCCAUGGAGGACCUGCCAUGUUUAGAGGGUACAGACAGUACUCAGCAGUGACGGAGGCUGAGCUUGGCUUGCUUACAGAGCCAACCAUGCAACACUUGUGGGUCUCGCCUCUUUGCUGAUCUUCACUUCCCUAAGAGAGGCACAGCCGAGAACUUCUGGCCUUCUUCUUGGUCCCUCCGGCUGACUAGAGCUGAGGCACCCCCGGCUGUCUCUGCUAGGUAGUGUUACUGUUGCUGAUUCCUGUUUGCUACCCGACUCUACUGAACUAGAUGCUGGCGUGGUGUAUCGGUGAAGUGUUUGCCAGUGGAUCGAGCUGCUGCUACUAACCUGGGAACUGAACAGCUGAUUUCCAGACAGCACAGAACACCUGGAGUGGAUUACAGUUCUUCUCAUGCAGUUGUGUGUCUGGAAUGGAAACCCUGACAUCUAAGGCAGGACAUUUCAGAAGAACUGGGAUGGCUCUUGGCAUCAUUGGGAGAACCUGAAAGGGAAUACUAAGGGGACAGAGCUACAGAAUUUCCCAUCUGAGGAACUUGUACUUGUGGGGAAGUUGAUCAGAAACACCAGAGUCUGAAUUCUUCAGGCAGCUGAAUCUUGGUUCAAAGUAAGUUAAAAAGAAUUACAUAGAAGAGAAAUUCAACUCUGAAAUUCAAAACAUAUGUCAUUGAAUACCCUGAUGUAAACUUAGGAAAACAAAUGAAAGGACAGACUUUUUUCUAGUUAUUUGUUGACAUUCAGUCAUUCAGUCAUUCAUUUAUUUCUGGGGAGCUUCAGGCAGCUGAGGAGAUUUGUACACUGUCUUGGGUGAACAGACUACAACCAGGAACCAAGAAGCAUGUGGGGAACAUGUUGCAGGUUCAGCUUCAGAACACAUUGAGUCAUUUCAACAAAAACUGUGAUAAUUAAAGAGGAAAAAUUACAUUUAGCCCAGAUAUAAAAUGGGGAUAAGACUGAGCUCUUUUGGAAGUCAAUGCCAGAGAACACUCAGGUAAGAUAUCUGCCUACCAGGGAGGAAAAUAAACAAAGGGUGGCUGUCUGCUCCUAUGUGUGCAAAUACAGGUGUGACUCAUAAAUCAACAUCAGUUGUCACUGUAAAAGGAAAGGUGCCCAAAAGUGUGAAAGAAGACACAAGUACAUCAUCCGUGAUAUAUAAACCUGGUAAAGACGUUUGGUUCACAAGAGAAUUGUUUAGAAUGGUUCUUUCAAAAUUUUGCUCAGCAUUUCCAACUUAAUGAUCUAGGAUUUCAUGAGGAAGAUAGGGCAUUGGUACUUCUGGACAACUCUCCAGUUCACCCUUCUGCGGAACCAUCAGCCAGUGAGGAUGGUAGAAUAAGAUACACGUUCUCUCCCCCUAAUACUUCUACUUUGAGUCAACCAGUGAAUCAAGCUGUAACCUUGAGCUGCAAAGAACUUUAGAGAUGGAAACAACUUGAAGAGAGUCUUAGAAACUUUGGAGAAAGUGAGGAUGAACAGGAAAAAGAAAGAGAAGGGAAUUUCCAAGAUUAAGAUGUAGAAUGUGAAAAGUGCACUUUUUAACUGGGAUGAAGUAAAACAAUUAACAGUAGCAGACGCAUGGGAAAUCUCCUUUACAAAGAAGAAACUGUGUGACCUUCAAGGGCAAGAGCGUGGGAGCUAGAGGGAUCCUUGAGAAAGGUGCAGAAACCAAGCUGGGCAUGGAGGAUAUGGUUAAAUGAAGAUGAUGAAGAGAAAGGUUGUUUCUCCCCGCCUCUCUCCACCCUUCACCCCUGAAAACCCAAAAGGUGAGACAGUAAAGGAAGCUGUGCAAAGGACGGAGCUGGAAAUUGGACAGGAAUUUAAGUUCCACACUGGACUACAUUCUUAACUUUCCUGAUGCCAUACCUGAAUUUUAAAUACUUCAUUUCACACUAAGAGAUGCAACAAAAAUAUAGCCAAGAAAGAACUGGAGAGUAAAAUCCUUUUAAGAAUUGGUAGGUUUUUGAAAACUAGACUUCCUAAUAUUAAGGAUACUGUCAAUAUGCCUUCAACUUCUGGUUCUAGUAAUCAGACUAUGUAAAGGUAAUUGGAAUAUAUGAUACUGUUGAUACCGUUUUUAAUCAAACAUUAUUUUCAUAUCAAUGCUCACUUAUGCAUUGGCUAGAAUAUAGUUUGAAAAUAAAUGUGAAUUCCCAUAAAUGUAUGAAUAUCAUUUUCUAUUUACAAAUCAAGGAUAUGAAUAAUGAAUUAUCAUCCUAAAUUAUAUAAAUUGUAAUGGCUAUGCUAAAAACAUAGGUUUAAAUUCUACCAUGUAAUUUUGGCUAAUACACAUUAGUACUAUGCACCAAGCAAGACCUUUGUUUCAUUCUCCAGAAUUAAAAAAUAGUAACGUACGUCACAUAAAGGAGGAAGGGGCUCCUCCUAAGCCCCUAGAAGGAACUCAUAAUGAGCUAAGCUGGCCACGAACAGAUUUAUGACUGCCUACAUGGUCUUAUUACCCAUAGGGAAGUACAACCAAAGAGAAUUAAAAUAUUACAAGACGGGAGCUAGACAGUUGGCUCAGUGGUUAAGAACACUGGCUGGGGCUGGAGAGAUGGCUCAGCGGUUAAGAGCACUGACUGCUUUUCCAGAGGUCCUGAGUUCAAUUCCCAGCAACCACAUGGUGGUUCACAACCAUCUGUAAUGAGGUCUGAUGCCCUCUUCUGGUGCGUCUGAAGAUAGCGUACAGUGUACUCAUAUACAUAUAAUAAAUAAAUAUUAAAGAACAUUGGCUGUUCUCCAGGUGAUCCACGUUCAAUUUCUAGUCCCUAUAUGGUAGUCCGUUCUAGCCCAGGGGAUCUCAGCUCCCCCUGCACCAUGCCUGCCUGAAUGCUGCCAUGUUUCUGCCUUGAUGACAAUGGACUGAACCUCUGAACCUGUAAGCCAGCCAAGAAUUAAAUGUUGUCUUUAUAAGAGUUGCCUUGGUUAUGGUGUCUCUUCACAGCAGUAAAACCCUAAGACAGAAGUUGCUACCAGGGACUGGGGUGUUGCUGCGAUAGACCUGACCAUGCUUUUGUUUGGAAGAAUGUUGAUUUGGGGGGGACUUUGGAUUUAGAAAGCCAUAGAAUGUUUUAAGUGGAGCUUAAUGAGCCAUCCUAGUAGGAAUAUGGAAGGCUUUGUUGUUGUGAGUUAUUUCAAUUGUGCAGACCUGGCCCAAGAGGUUUCAGUGGAGAACAACUUCAGUAUGUGGCCUAGAGACUAUUUUUGUAGUAUUUUAGUGACGAACAUGGCUACUUUUGGCCCUAGUCUGAGGAGUCUGCCUGAGGCUAAGGAGAAGAGACUCAGAUAAAUUGCACUGACAAAGGAAGUCUCAAAAAAGCCCAGCAGAGACUUUGUUCUCUGGUUACGUCUGAUAAAGAGCAUUUUGAACAAGCAUAGCAAGCUUAGAAAGGAAAAAUAUAUAAGGUAGAGUUUGAGUAUUAAAGGGGCACCAGGAAGUGAAAUAGAACUGAAUCCUGUGUUCAAGGGUAUUAAAUUGAAUUAACGGAGUGGUGACCUUGGGGCAAGAUCCUACCCAGCUAAAUUUAGAUCCAGGCUUGGUGCUACAUACUUUUAAUCCCAGGAGAUAAAGCCAAGCAGAUCUCUAAGUUCAAGGCCCAUCUGAGACAGACGGAGUUAUAGGUGAAGAAAAGCUUAAAUUCAGGCACAGUGGUACACACUUUGAUCCCAGUAGCCAAGCAUGCAGAUCUCUGAGUUCACGGUCAGUCUACAGAGCAAGAUCCAGGACAGCCAAGCUUAGGCAGUGAAGGAGUUGGAAAAGAGGAAGCUAGUGACUGAACAAGGGGGCCAUGUUCCAGCUCCAGCAAGCAGCAGAACACAGCAGUUUCAGCCAUGUGGCUCUGGCUUUAGAGCCAAGAAUAGAAGGGACUACAGGGACAGUUAAUGCUGGUUAACUGGAGCUAAGAAAUUAGUGGUGAUUAAGAAGAGAGCAGCAUCACUGUGAUGAAAUUUUCUGGGAAGUUAUUUUCUGAGAACACAAAGAAGCUGUGUUCCAGAGAUAGCCAAGGUUGUACCUCGUGCUGCAGCUGUACUUGGUAAUGUGUAAGAAUCACCCAGGUGGUACUGGGUUUGAAGGCAUGAAGUGGUCAUGAAGAGCAGAAGGCUUGGUACUGAGAGGCCAUGAAAGGCCGUCGGUGAAAGAAAGUGCAGCCUCAGUUGUAGUUGAUGGCCCAGGACUGAAGGGGUCAUGCAAAGGAGUUGAGGCUUGACACCAGGAAGAGAGCCUGAGAGAGGCUUUUGGUGAAGUAAGUCGAGUGUAUUAUAGAUGCCAGUACCGUGGGAUGAUCACCAAGAGCAGCAGUGGUAGUGGACUGGAUCAACCUGAGCUUAGAGGGCAGGGCUGCAGAGGUGACUCAGCUCUUUGGAGCCCUUUGGAGCCGCCCAGACCAUGUAUAGAUCCCCGACACUGAAACAAGAAGCUUUAAUAUUGAAGUUGCCUUGGAGAGCCCAAGAUGCUAAAGAUGCCCAAGUCGUAAGAUACCUGCAGAGGAGAGCUGCUGACAGGGAGUGGAACCAGCCCAGGGCAGAGAAGUUUGUUGCAGUCAACAAAGAUGAGAAAGGAGCUGGAGAUCUGAAGACGGCUGUGACGUCAGACAUGGAGACGCAGGGUUUGGAGUUUGCCCAGCUGGAUUCCUGUCUUGCUUUGGGGAUUGCAGUUAAAUGAUUGGAUGGAUCUCAGAAGAGAUCUUAAACUUUGGACUUUUAACAUUGUUGAGAGUGCUAUAGACUAUGGAAGUUGGACUAAAUGUAUUUUGUAUUAGACUGUGUUUAGGUAUGGCCCCCAUAGAUUCAUGUAUUUGAACAAGUCUAUAGAGGCCAGGGAGUAGAAUAUGAUGGUUUGUAUAUGCUUGGCCCAGGGUGUGACACUAUUAGGAGAUGUGGCCUUGUUGGAAUAGGUGUGUCAUUGUGGGUGUGAGCUUUAAUAAGCCUUGUCCUAGCUGCCUGGAAGCUGGUAUCUGCUAGCAGCCUUCAGAUGAACAAGUAGACCUCUCAGCUCCUCUUGUACCAUGCCUGCCUGGAUGCUGCCAUGCUCCUGCCUUGAUGAUAAUGGACUGAACCUCUGAACCUGUAAGGCAGCCUCAAUUAAAUGCUGUCCUUAUAAAAGUUGCGUUGGUCAUGGUGUCUGUUCACAGCAAAAAAAAAAAAAAAAAAAAAAAAAAAAAAAAAAAAAAAGGGCCCUAACUAAGACAAUGGCUCCUGAGGAAUGGCACUAUAGGUCCUCUGUCCUACACAUAUCCACACAGUUAAGAAAACUCCAGGCUCAGGAGACUGUUCCUAUCUGGCUCUCCUACAUGUAGCACCAACAAACUCACUAACUUAGUUGGGGUGACACGUAUCUACAUCUGCCCAGGAAAAGGUACACAACACAGCAGUACCAGCUAGGCCAUGCAAUAUCUAUCUGCAUGGGUGAUUUUAUAGUGUGUGUGUACACAAUCCAAGUGAUAAGCUGCUUAGUGGCACAGCAAGUGUAGAUCAUCCCACCCACUUCGUGGCACCAGGAGCAUAUUAGUCCUGUCCUACUCAUGGGACCAAGACCCUGUUCCUACACUGCAGAUUCUAUAUCAAUCUGUAGUUAAUCUACAUUAAUCUCACCUUCCUUCCCUGCCCUCAGUCCUCAGACCACCACUUCUUACCUUCGGGAAAAAACUCCCUUAAGAUAAAGGGAAAUAAGACAAUGAUAAUGUUUUAAAAGUUGGCCCAGAAAACCAAGCUUUUGACACACUAAUCCGAAUCAAGAGCUGGGGUAAGAAUGAGGACUGUUUUGACAGACUGCUGCUAAUCCACUGGUCCACCAUCUUUCCCCACAGAAUAGCUAGAUUAGUUAGACAGUUGGAUAGAUUUCUCUGGAGAUGGUGAGAUGGCUUCCUGGCAUCUGACUGACUACUCCUAGAGUGCUGGGUUCUAAGUUUCUCCACUCUGUGGGAGGUGGUGGUGAACUCCUUUAAUCCUAGCACUUGGGAGGCAGAGGCAGGCAGAUCUCCAGGUUUGAGACUAGCCUGGUCUACAAAUGAAUUCCAGGACAGCCAGGGCUACACUGAGAAACCAACUUGAAGAGAUAAAGCAUAUAAAAAAAGAUAAACACUCCUAUUAUUCCUACCCCAAGCCCACCUUCUAUGAUAUAAUGCUUUCCUCCUCCUAAUUUUGUCCCGAUUUUGAUUACCACACCAUCAAUGAUCAAUGGUGUCGUGAAGACCAUUAUUAGAUUCCCUCCUGGGAACAAGUUUUGCAAGACAAAAAUAUUCUGUCUUUAAAAAGCCUGAUCUGGCCAGGCAGUGGUGAUGCACGAAUAUAAUCCCUACAUUCAGGAGGCAAGGCAGGUGGAUCUCUCAGUUCGAGCCAGCCUGGUCUACAGAGUGAGUUCCAGGACAACCAGAGCUACCCAGAGAUACCCCAUCUCCAAAAGAACCCACACAAGAAAAGAGAAGUUUGAACCAUAUGAACACAAAGUCCCUCAAUAAAGAUUCAUACAUAUUCAUGUUUCCUUGGAGAUAUUUAUUAUAAACCCUCCAAACAUUCUCAACGGGGACAUAAUUCCUAAUUUCUCUAGGAUCUGUUUUUUGUAUCUGAUGAAAUCAUGGAACCUUCCACUCAUAAUCAUGUCUAUAGAGCUCUAGGUACCUUUCAACAGGUGGAAGAAAGUCUCAAAUCUCUAGAAAGGUAGACUGUAAUCACAUACCCUUAAUCUGCAAAAUGCUGGGUUCUUCUGUGGAUUCCACAUUAUGACUUCCCAUCUCUCUAGUUCACUUUUUAUGCCAAUGAACACUCCAACCAAACUACUCAGAGGGGUGUUGCAAUGGCAGAAUUGGACUGCCCAGGACUUCCCAGCCAGGGCCUUAAAAUAAAACAAAACAAAAACAAAAAAAAAA